CCCUUAGAUGUUCUGGGCUGCACGCGCGCUACACUGAAGCUAUCAACACGUUUUCCCUCCCUGAGAAGGGCGGGUAACCUUUUGAAUCAGCUUCGUGGUAGGGAUCGGGGCUUGCAAUUGUUCCCCGUGAACCAGGAAUUCCUAGUAGACGCGAGUCAUAAGCUCGCAUCGAUUAAGUCCCUGCCCUUUGUACACACCGCCCGUCGCUACUACCGAUUGAACGUUUUCGUGAGGCAUUUGGACCGACGCAUCUCAGUUUAACCGCUGGUUUGUGUUGGAAAGACUUCCAAACUUGAGCGUUUAGAGGAAGUAAAAGUCGUAACA
This 324-nucleotide ribosomal RNA is filed under the name uncultured eukaryote. RNAcentral describes it as "partial 18S ribosomal RNA". It matches the Rfam family "Eukaryotic small subunit ribosomal RNA", at positions 1470 to 1796 of the family's 1831-position model. The record is from RNAcentral.